UAGCAUUGGAGACAAGGAUAAGAGUUUGUUUGAAAGAGAAAAGAACAGGCUUUGAAGUAAGCCUAAAAGCGUUUAACUAGAAAUAGUAUUUCGAAAGUUAUUAAGCACAAAAGAUGAAUUGCGUUUAUUUUGAUACACCCUGUAUAACUAAACUUAACCAUGCAAAAUUUUCGCUGGUUUUACUGGAUGUAAUUGGUAAUUCCAGCUAGCUUUUAGUUUAUGCCUGCAGGGAAUGAUGGGAAGUGAGGUAUCGUAUUGCUGAUUAUACUGAAAAAUUUCAAUAAAAACUACCGAAACAACUGAAAUAUUUCAAUAUUUACAAGUAUAAGCNNNNNNNNNNNNNNNNNNNNAUAAGCUUUCGAAAAUCGCGAUAUUUACUAUGAAAUGUAAUUGGGACGCGCGUCCCAAAAACAAUCUUUUAAUCAGUAAUUUCAUAAUUUUCGAAAGCUUAUUAUUCGAAGGAUAUUCAUGUAAACGUCUUCAAACUUUGUAUAUAUACUUACUAAUUUUGAGGUGGUCUUUUUAGUUAUUUGGUUCAUUUCUCAAUUUGGGCACUUUUUAACACUCGUCGCCAGUCCACUCAUCAACUUCGGAAUGGCUAAUUUGUAAAUCAAAAUUAUAUUGCUGACGAAUAUCAUUACUUUCAUUCUCGUUUCCCGAGCCUGCGAUCCUCGGGAAAGAACGCGAGCCUCUGGGGUAAUCCGUUGCCGGAAGCCAUGAGGAAUCCUGGCUAAGAUUGAACUACGCAUUCCAUUUCAACGGCCAAUCAGAUUCCUCCCUGAAACGGAUUAUCCCAGAACCUCGCGUUCCUUCCCGAGGAUCGCAGGUUCGGGGAACGAGAUUGCAUUACUUUUUGAGUUGUAAAAUGAAAAACAAAUUCUUAAAAGAGUGAUAAGGAUCUAGUAAUGAUUGACGGAUGCAUUACAAAAUGUACAGCUAAAUAUGUAUAUAACUAAACUUAAUCAUGCAAAAUUUUCGCUGGUUUUACUGGAUGUAAUUGGUAAUUCCAGCUAGCUUUUAGUUUAUGCCUGCAGGGGAUGAUGGGAAGUGAGGUAUCGUAUUGCUGAUUAUACUGAAAAAUUUCAAUAAAAACUACCGAAACAACUGAAAUAUUUCAAUAUUUACAAGUAUAAGCUAUCACUCCGUAUUUACACGGCCACCAUUUUUAUUUUUUCAGCAUAAUCACCAAUGUGGGAAGAGAUUAUUUCGCUGGCCUCAAAGUGACAAAACGUAACAAAGCAACGGUUUUACUAACACUAACCCUACUCCAAACACCAACUCUGACCCUAACCUAACCCUACCACAAAUUCGUUUCUAAACCAAUCUUGAAGAAAAAAGUUUUGACGAAAUGUCAUUCUGAGGUCAGCGAAAUAGUUGAUACCACCAAUGCGAUACCUUACGUCAGUUUACGUCCCAUCGUCCCCUGCACGCAUAAACUAAAAGCUGGAAUUUCCUAUUGGUUAAGGCUGUUUUCCACUUCAACCAUAUCCCUGGACGUAUAUAUAGCAUUCUCUUUUGUGUCGAAGAUCCACUCUAGUGCUCAGGAAUCAAAGAAAUACUAUACGCUUCGGCACGAUACGGUUGAAGUGGAAAAUGGUUCCGUAUUUUAGUAUCCUAUGUAGGUAAUCAUAGGGUGAUGCGGUUUUUCGGUAAACCGGAAAAAAACGAUUUUUUUUUAAAACCGAAUUACUCGAUGUUACUUUUGGAGAAAAACCGGAAAAACCGAAAAAAGCCCGCUGCAUCCCCGCGUAGCCGUCUAUCCAAAGAGAUUGACCGCUAUUUCUCGGCAUUCCCAGUGAUAGACGGAGAUGACGAUCCACUUCAAUGGUGGAAAUUAAAUGCAAAGGAACUACCGUUGCUCUGCCAGUUAUCGAGAGGGUAUCUUGCCAUCCAAGCAAGCAGUUCGCCGUCGGAGAGACUUUUCAGUAAAGCGGGGCAAGUUAGCACGCCGGCACGAGCACAACUUAAACCUGAGAAAGUUGACAAACUUGUGUUCCUGGCGGAGAACUUAUAGUGGUUUACGCAAUAUUUCAAUAUUUGUACAUAGUUUAUUGUAAAAAUUAUAUCUUGUACACUGCAUGUUCCUUUUAUACUUCGUAGCAAGGGUUAAUAUAAUUGUUUUUUAAACCGAAGUCUUGCGUGAGUACUGAGUAGCGUGUUGUGUCUUUUUUACCUUAGUUUCGAUUUUCGAACGUAUUUUUUUAAAAAACCGGUUCACUCGGUUUUUUCGGGUUUUUUUGGUCGGUUUUCGGUUUUUUGUAGAAACCGCCUCACCCUAGGUAAUCAUCAUCAGUAAUCAUCAUCAUUAAUUUUCAUCUGUGAUGGAAAUUAAAUUAUUUUUUUCAUUAGUUUUACAAUAACAAAUUGAAGGCACAGACAACA
This 2382-nucleotide long non-coding RNA is filed under the name Paramuricea clavata. Lineage: Eukaryota; Metazoa; Cnidaria; Anthozoa; Malacalcyonacea; Plexauridae. The record is from RNAcentral.